GACGAACGCUGGCGGCGUGCUUAACACAUGCAAGUCGAACGAAGUGGCGAACGGGUGAGUAACGCGUAAUCAACCUGCCCUUCAGAGGGGGACAACAGUUGGAAACGACUGCUAAUACCGCAUACUGAAGGAGGGGAUGGGGUCGGCUUAGCUCGUUGGCGGGGUAACGGCCCACCAAGGUGAUGAUCUCUAGCUGGUCUGAGAGGAUGACCAGCCACACCGGUACUGAGACACGGCCCGGACUCCUACGGUAGGCAGCAGUGGGGAAUAUUGCGCAAUGGGGGCAACCCUGACGCAGCCAUGCCGCGUGAAUGAAGAAGGCCUUCGGGUUGUAAAGUUCUUUCGGUGAGGAGCGUUAAUCACAGAAGAAGCACCGGCUAACUCCGUGCCAGCAGCCGCGGUAAUUC
RNAcentral lists this ribosomal RNA (407 nucleotides) under uncultured bacterium. Its description in RNAcentral is "partial 16S ribosomal RNA". It matches the Rfam family "Bacterial small subunit ribosomal RNA", at positions 28 to 526 of the family's 1533-position model. The record is from RNAcentral.